UGGGGAAUAUUGGACAAUGGGCGAAAGCCUGAUCCAGCCAUGCCGCGUGUGUGAAGAAGGUCUUCGGAUUGUAAAGCACUUUAAGUUGGGAGGAAGGGCAGUAAGCGAAUACCUUGCUGUUUUGACGUUACCGACAGAAUAAGCACCGGCUAACUCUGUGCCAGCAGCCGCGGUAAUACAGAGGGUGCAAGCGUUAAUCGGAAUUACUGGGCGUAAAGCGCGCGUAGGUGGUUCGUUAAGUUGAAUGUGAAAGCCCCGGGCUCAACCUGGGAACUGCAUCCAAAACUGGCGAGCUAGAGUAGGGCAGAGGGUGGUGGAAUUUCCUGUGUAGCGGGGAAAUGCGUAGAUAUAGGAAGGAACAACAGUGGCGAAGGCGACCACCUGGGCUCAUACUGACACUGAGGUGCGAAAGCGUGGGGAGCAAACAGG
Molecule: ribosomal RNA, 429 nt
Filed under: Pseudomonadota bacterium
Lineage: Bacteria; Pseudomonadati; Pseudomonadota
Description: Proteobacteria bacterium partial 16S ribosomal RNA
Rfam family: Bacterial small subunit ribosomal RNA
Source: RNAcentral